This 378-nucleotide ribosomal RNA is filed under the name uncultured bacterium. RNAcentral's name for it is "partial 16S ribosomal RNA". It matches the Rfam family "Bacterial small subunit ribosomal RNA", at positions 338 to 727 of the family's 1533-position model. The record is from RNAcentral.
CCUACGGGAGGCAGCAGUAGGGAAUUUUCGACAAUGGGGGGAACCCUGACCGAGCAACGCCGCGUGAACGAAGAAGUUAUUCGUAAUGUAAAGUUCUUUUAACAGGGAAGGAAGAGAAUUUUCACAUUACCUGAUGAAUAAGCUCCGGCUAACUACGUGCCAGCAGCCGCGGUAAUACGUAGGGAGUGAGCGUUAUCCGGAAUUAUUGGGCGAAAAGGGUGCGUAGAUGGCAUAGUAAGUCUGUGGUAAAAAUGCUGGGCUCAACCUAGUAGGGCAAAAAAUACUGCAAAGCUAGAGUAUGAACGAGGUAAGUGGAACUACAUGAGUAGCGGUAAAAUGCGUAAAUAUAAGUAAGAACACCAGUAGCGAAGGCGGCUU